This 73-nucleotide transfer RNA is filed under the name Candidatus Ancillula prorhinotermitis. RNAcentral describes it as "tRNA-Arg". It matches the Rfam family "tRNA". From Rfam's summary of the family: Transfer RNA (tRNA) molecules are approximately 80 nucleotides in length. Their secondary structure includes four short double-helical elements and three loops (D, anti-codon, and T loops). Further hydrogen bonds mediate the characteristic L-shaped molecular structure. tRNAs have two regions of fundamental functional importance: the anti-codon, which is responsible for specific mRNA codon recognition, and the 3' end, to which the tRNAs corresponding amino acid is attached (by aminoacyl-tRNA synthetases). tRNAs cope with the degeneracy of the genetic code in two manners: having more than one tRNA (with a specific anti-codon) for a particular amino acid; and 'wobble' base-pairing, i.e. permitting non-standard base-pairing at the 3rd anti-codon position. The record is from RNAcentral. Lineage: Bacteria; Bacillati; Actinomycetota; Actinomycetes; Bifidobacteriales; Bifidobacteriaceae.
CCUCCCGUAGCUCAGUGGAUAGAGCACAGGUUUCCGGUACCUGGUGUCGCACGUUCGAUUCGUGUCGGGAGGA